This 326-nucleotide ribosomal RNA is filed under the name uncultured eukaryote. Its description in RNAcentral is "partial 18S ribosomal RNA". It matches the Rfam family "Eukaryotic small subunit ribosomal RNA", at positions 1470 to 1796 of the family's 1831-position model. The record is from RNAcentral.
CCCUUAGAUGUCCUGGGCCGCACGCGCGCUACACUGAUGCAUGCAACGAGUUUAUAACCUUGGCCUGAAAGGUCUGGGUAAUCUUUUGAACGUGCAUCGUGAUAGGGAUAGAUUAUUGCAAUUGUUAAUCUUGAACGAGGAAUUCCUAGUAAACGCGAGUCAUCAGCUCGCAUUGAUUACGUCCCUGCCCUUUGUACACACCGCCCGUCGCACCUACCGAUUGAAUGGUUCGGUGAGCCAUUCGGACUUUCAUCAUGCUGGUUUCCAGUUUUGAUGAAGGAAAGUCUUGCGAACCUUAUCAUUUAGAGGAAGGAGAAGUCGUAACA